UGGCUCAGUCAGCAGGGUGCUUGCCUUCUAAACAGGAGGACCUGGGUUUGAGUCCCAG
Molecule: transfer RNA, 58 nt
Filed under: Neotoma lepida (desert woodrat)
Lineage: Eukaryota; Metazoa; Chordata; Mammalia; Rodentia; Cricetidae
Source: Rfam by way of RNAcentral